CGGGUGAGUAACGCGUGGGUAACCUACCUUUCAGUCGGGGGAUAACUAUUGGAAACGAUAGCUAAUACCGCAUAACAAUGUUGGAUGCAUAUUCGACAUUUGAAAGUACCAAUUGGUACACUGAGAGAUGGACCCGCGUUGUAUUAGCUAGUUGGUAGUGUAAUGGACUACCAAGGCGAUGAUACAUAGCCGACCUGAGAGGGUGAUCGGCCACAUUGGGACUGAGACACGGCCCAAACUCCUACGGGAGGCAGCAG
Molecule: ribosomal RNA, 257 nt
Filed under: uncultured bacterium
Lineage: Bacteria
Description: partial 16S ribosomal RNA
Rfam family: Bacterial small subunit ribosomal RNA
Source: RNAcentral